This 75-nucleotide transfer RNA is filed under the name Mycobacterium sp. Soil538. RNAcentral's name for it is "tRNA-His". It matches the Rfam family "tRNA". From Rfam's summary of the family: Transfer RNA (tRNA) molecules are approximately 80 nucleotides in length. Lineage: Bacteria; Bacillati; Actinomycetota; Actinomycetes; Mycobacteriales; Mycobacteriaceae. The record is from RNAcentral.
CCCCACGUAGCUCAAUCGGCAGAGCAGCGGUUUGUGGUACCGCAGACCUGGGUUCGAAUCCUGGCGUGAGGACCU